UAUUAUUAUGUAAUUAAUAAUAAUUUUUAUUGUUAAUUUAUUUUAUUAUUAAUUUAUUUUACAUAUAAAUUUUAGUGUGAUUUUUUUUAUAUUUAAAUAAUAUAAGAAAUUAAUUAAUUAUAGUAAUUAAUAUUAAAUAUUUAAGAAAUUAAGAUUUAGUAAUAUUAAAAUUAAAAGUUAAUUUUGUGCCAGCAACUGCGGUUAAACAAAAUUUAAAUUAAAAUUUAUUAGUUUAUUAAUUAAUAAUAAAAUAUAAAAAAUUAAAUGUUAAAUUAUUAAGUGAAAUUUUAAUUUAAUAUAAAUUUUUUUAGGGUUUAUGAUUUUUAAUAAAUUUUUAUGAAAAACUAGGAUUAGAUACCCUAUUAUUAAAAAUUUAAAUUAAAAUACUAAAGUAGUAAAUAAUUAUUUAUUGAAAUUUAAAUAAUUUGGCGGUAUUUUAGUUCAUUUAGAGGAAUCUGUUUAAUAAUUGAUAAUCCACGAUUAAAUUUACUUAGUUUUUAUAUUUUGUAUAUCGUUGUUAAAAAAAUAUUUUUUAAAAAUAAAAUAAUAUUUAAAAAUUAUUAUGAUAAAUUAAAUCAAAUCAAGAUGCAGAUAAUAAUUAAGAAUAUAAUGGAUUACAAUAAAUUUAUUUAUAUGGAUAUUAUUUUGUAAUAAAUAAUUUAAAGUGGAUUUAAAUGUAAUUUUAUUUAAUAUAAUAAAAUGAUUUAAAAUUAAAAUAUGUACAUAUUGCCCGUCGCUUUCAUAAAUAAGUUGAAAUAAGUCGUAACAAAGUAGAGGUACUGGAAAGUGUUUCUAGAAAGAU
This 802-nucleotide non-coding RNA is filed under the name Pyralis farinalis. The record is from RNAcentral. Lineage: Eukaryota; Metazoa; Arthropoda; Insecta; Lepidoptera; Pyralidae.